RNAcentral lists this transfer RNA (73 nucleotides) under Neotoma lepida (desert woodrat). It matches the Rfam family "tRNA". Rfam says of the family: Transfer RNA (tRNA) molecules are approximately 80 nucleotides in length. Their secondary structure includes four short double-helical elements and three loops (D, anti-codon, and T loops). Lineage: Eukaryota; Metazoa; Chordata; Mammalia; Rodentia; Cricetidae. The record is from Rfam by way of RNAcentral.
AGGGAUGUAGCUCAGUUGGUAGAGCACUUGCCUAGCAUGCACAAGGCUCUGAGUUCAAGCCCCAGCACCACAU